CCUUUGAUUUUGCUACGAAAUAAAAUUUCUGUCAAAUAUUUUCAUCAGUACCUAGGAUGUGAUACGAAAAUUAGAAAAUGCAGUUUUUUUGUGGAAGCUUACAGAAACUAAACCAGAACUUCGAAUUCAGUAAACUUUCGGACCUCUACAAACCAGAAAAAAGAAUUUCGGACCUCUACAAACCAGAAAAAAGAAUUUCGGACCUCUACAAACCAGAUUAGUACCAUCUAUCCUUUACUGAAAAAAAGUUGAGAAGAAUACUAUAAGCAGGGAGUAACCUACACCUACAUCCUAAUAUUGGUCAAAUAUCUUAUUCAAUUAGGCUUUGUCUUUGCAAAUUAUUCUGAUACAAAUAUUUUAAGGAAAUCAAGAUAGAAGCUCAACAAAAGCAUGCGACACUUGUCUGUUGCAAAAAAUGCAAAUAGCUUUACACUGGAAAUGAACAGAAAAAUAUGACUUGGAAUGUCUAAAAUAUAAUCAACUACUUCCGGAGGGCUCCAUUCAUA
This is a long non-coding RNA of Wyeomyia smithii (pitcher-plant mosquito), 506 nucleotides long. RefSeq lists it as uncharacterized. The transcript has 2 exons. The record is from RefSeq and is a predicted model, not a curated record. NCBI's taxonomy places the organism in Eukaryota, Metazoa, Arthropoda, Insecta, Diptera, Culicidae.